CAGCAGCCGCGGUAAUACAGAGGGUGCGAGCGUUAAUCGGAUUUACUGGGCGUAAAGCGUGCGUAGGCGGCUUUUUAAGUCGGAUGUGAAAUCCCUGAGCUUAACUUAGGAAUUGCAUUCGAUACUGGGAAGCUAGAGUAUGGGAGAGGAUGGUAGAAUUCCAGGUGUAGCGGUGAAAUGCGUAGAGAUCUGGAGGAAUACCGAUGGCGAAGGCAGCCAUCUGGCCUAAUACUGACGCUGAGGUACGAAAGCAUAGGGAGCAAACAGGAUUAGAUACCCGCGUAGUCCCUGUCUCUUAUAC
Molecule: ribosomal RNA, 301 nt
Filed under: uncultured bacterium
Lineage: Bacteria
Description: partial 16S ribosomal RNA
Rfam family: Bacterial small subunit ribosomal RNA
Source: RNAcentral